Non-coding RNA from Triticum aestivum (bread wheat), 126 nucleotides. The record is from Rfam. NCBI's taxonomy places the organism in Eukaryota, Viridiplantae, Streptophyta, Magnoliopsida, Poales, Poaceae.
AAUAUAUUCCCUCCGUCCGAAAAAGCUUGUCCCUCAAAUGGAUGUAUCUAGCAUCAAGUUAGUGCUAGAUACAUUCAUUUGAGGAACAACCUUGGGACAAGUUUUUUCGGACGGAGGGAGUAGUAU